UUAUUCUUCCACUACUGUAGCUAGAAGACCUCCAAUUACACUUCAACACGUGUCCUUCUUUGACUUAACUCUGUUUUAUAUUUUUUUUUCCAACUCGCACAAGCAAAAACGACGCCGUUUCCUUUCACACUGUUCAUCACCGUCUCUGAGUCUCUCAUCAACCCUAGGUCUCUAAUCGCGUGUUCUCUCCCUCUCUACCUACUGAUUUCGAGUUUUCGACGGUACCCAUCACAUCCCGCCAGACUCUUCGCUAGAUACAGUUCAUCCGCGUACGAGCAACUGUUCACUGAUAUGCUAGGUUUCCUCUUUCCCGUGGUUUUCUUCUCACAAACGGCGUUGUACAACUUUCAAUCAAGAAAGGGUUAUUAGGUAAGGAUGCAGAAGGAUAAGCGGAAAUCGUGGAAGGAGAAGGAGGAAGCGUGCUCUGUGCGGUUGAGUAUGAGAAGGAGAAGCGAAGAUCGUGGAACAACAGGGUACUCUUGCAUAUGAGGCAGAAAUUGGUUUUGAAAGGCUUGCAGAAACGUCUGGUCAUGUGUGUGGCAAACCUGAAACAAGAACUGAAGAUGCCAAGGUUGCUAACACAGCAAACCUGCUGCUGCUGCUGGAAAAGAGGGAAAAGCUUUGAGCUUUUCUAGGUUGGAUGUGUUUGCUGCUGAACCAUUUGAGAACUUACCACUCCCCUUGCUGCAGAGAGAACAAGAAGGAAAGACCCUCUAAACAGCUUCAAUAAGUAGUUAAGUGGAUGGAAUAUCAAUGACCACCAUUAUUGGGCUGUAAGCUCAUCUAACCAUUGUUACUCUCUCUUUAGUAAUAGUACAUUCUAGGUUUUUUUUUUGC
This is a long non-coding RNA of Lotus japonicus, 837 nucleotides long. RefSeq lists it as uncharacterized. The transcript has 3 exons. Lineage: Eukaryota; Viridiplantae; Streptophyta; Magnoliopsida; Fabales; Fabaceae. The record is from RefSeq and is a predicted model, not a curated record.